This 468-nucleotide ribosomal RNA is filed under the name uncultured bacterium. Its description in RNAcentral is "partial 16S ribosomal RNA". It matches the Rfam family "Bacterial small subunit ribosomal RNA", at positions 28 to 507 of the family's 1533-position model. The record is from RNAcentral.
GACGAACGCUGGCGGCGUGCUUAACACAUGCAAGUCGAACGGAAAGGCCCUGCUUUUGUGGGGUGCUCGAGUGGCGAACGGGUGAAUAACACGUGAGUAACCUGCCCUUGACUUUGGGAUAACUUCAGGAAACUGGGGCUAAUACCGGAUAGGAGCUCCUGCUGCAUGGUGGGGGUUGGAAAGUUUCGGCGGUUGGGGAUGGACUCGCGGCUUAUCAGCUUGUUGGUGGGGUAGUGGCUUACCAAGGCUUUGACGGGUAGCCGGCCUGAGAGGGUGACCGGCCACAUUGGGACUGAGAUACGGCCCAGACUCCUACGGGAGGCAGCAGUGGGGAAUAUUGCACAAUGGGCGGAAGCCCGAUGCAGCAACGCCGCGUGCGGGAUGACGGCCUUCGGGUUGUAAACCGCUUUCGCCUGUGACGAAGCGUGAGUGACGGUAAUGGGUAAAGAAGCACCGGCUAACUACGUG